This is a non-coding RNA of Microcebus murinus (gray mouse lemur), 312 nucleotides long. NCBI's taxonomy places the organism in Eukaryota, Metazoa, Chordata, Mammalia, Primates, Cheirogaleidae. The record is from RefSeq and is a predicted model, not a curated record.
GGCCCUCUUCACCUGCGUCAUGUGACCACAAGAGGAGAGUGGAUGUUUCAACUAAAAUUGAUAAAAAUGAAGAGGGAAGGGUGACUUGAAAUGUCCUGGUUUGGAUAACAAAUUAUCUGUCCACCUAUGCAUUUGGAAAAUUGGAAAUCUGAGGCCUGAAGAAGGAAGAGGAAUUAGCGGCUGUGGUGUCUUCAGCUGAUGGACAUCUCAAGGGGAACGGCAGGACACCUGUGGAGCCUGUGACUGCAUCUGGGGACCAGCUAGUUUGUCCCAUGCUUUGUGUGAAAAGCUCAAAUAAAUAUGAUUCUUACC